Molecule: long non-coding RNA, 358 nt
Organism: Helicoverpa armigera (cotton bollworm)
Lineage: Eukaryota; Metazoa; Arthropoda; Insecta; Lepidoptera; Noctuidae
Exons: 3
Source: RefSeq, a predicted model, not a curated record
CACGGUCGCGCGUCCCGAGUCGCCUAGUGUGUUUUUGACAUCGGUAAACGCAGUCGUGAACUUCGGAGCGCAUAGAUACUUUUAUUUAUAGUUUAAAUCGAAUAAAGUCGCUUUGCGUUUGUGAAUACCUGUGCUCAAUCGGGAUACAAUAAAUAUGAGUAUUGCUGCUCUAAUUCAAGCUGCUGAAUACAUCGAAAGGCGCGAUAGAGUGUACUUUGUUGCAGAAGCUGAGCACGGAUACGCGUCGAGUUUACCGGCGUACGAAGAGUCCCGGUCAGGCGGCAGGCGGCCGAAGACCAAGAAAUCGCAGGGCAGCAGGACGACUCAUAACGAGUUGGAAAAACAGGUGAGUGUUUAU